GAAAAAAACCAAGUGAUGUACACUGUCACUCACAGAAACUCUAAGUCAACAAGUACAGAGACGCAGAGUGAAAAACCCAAGCCCUUUAAAGAGGCUUGUACGUUCUUGUGAGAGAGCAGGCCGGUCUUUCUCGGCGAGACAAAGGUGCGGGACAGUUUAUUAGUUCAAGGCUGAGCUCCCCGGCUGCCACUGCCGGCGCCUCUUCAAGGCCAGCUCCCGGCCCUUGCCGGUCCUUCAGAUUUAAUGUUGCCAUUUUACUCUGGAAUCUGGUUAAAAUGAAUAACCCCUUUGGAGAACAACAGAAGUCGUCUUUGCUCUGCCAUCUUUCACCACUUCCAGAAGAGAGAACCCCUGCCACGUAUCGAGGGUCACUAAAGGGCCGGAGCAGACGCAGGGCAGAACCAAACCCAGCCCAAGAAGAACCGUGAAGGUGACCAGAGCUGGCCAAGCGCUGGGGGGUCCACUGAUGAGUUUUCAUGCAAGAUGCCUCCAGUUCCUCUGCUCAAAGGUCUGAGUGUCUCCUGCGAGAGGCGUGGUAACCUGAGGCCCUUCUAGAAGGAGGGUCAGUGGGCUGCUUCCGGUCCCCCGCUGUCCUGCCCCACUGUGCGUCUCACAGCGUUGUCUGCUCUAGCGGCCGGCUGGGACCUCCUCCCCUUUCGUAAGUCUGGUGUCAUGCUCUCUUCCUAAAUGAAGCCUUAAAAUCUUCCCUGCAGUCGACACACUGCAGUUUGACAACCUUUCAUCGUGUUAUUAUUCACCCUGUCAUUGCAGCCUCUCUGCACAGCUGGAGUAUCCAUGACUUAUUUACAUGUUAUAAAU
This 819-nucleotide long non-coding RNA is filed under the name Bos indicus x Bos taurus (hybrid cattle). RNAcentral's name for it is "lncRNA (ENSBIXG00005016335.1)". Lineage: Eukaryota; Metazoa; Chordata; Mammalia; Artiodactyla; Bovidae. The record is from RNAcentral.